Molecule: ribosomal RNA, 254 nt
Filed under: uncultured bacterium
Lineage: Bacteria
Description: partial 16S ribosomal RNA
Rfam family: Bacterial small subunit ribosomal RNA
Source: RNAcentral
GACGUAGGGCGCAAGCGUUGUCCGGAAUUAUUGGGCGUAAAGAGCUCGUAGGCGGCUUAGCAAGUCAGAUGUGAAAACUCCAGGCUCAACCUGGAGACGCCAUUUGAUACUGCUAUGGCUUGAGUUCGGUAGGGGACCAUGGAAUUCCUGGUGUAGCGGUGAAAUGCGUAGAUAUCUGGAGGAACACCGGUGGCGAAGGCGGCGUUCUGGACUGCAACUGACACUGAGAGACGAAAGCCAGGGGAGCAAACGGG